Molecule: ribosomal RNA, 489 nt
Filed under: uncultured Paenibacillus sp.
Lineage: Bacteria; Bacillati; Bacillota; Bacilli; Caryophanales; Paenibacillaceae
Description: bacterial SSU rRNA
Rfam family: Bacterial small subunit ribosomal RNA
Source: RNAcentral
GCGGCGUGCCUAAUACAUGCAAGUCGAGCGGAGUUGAUGAGAAGCUUGCUUCUCUGAUACUUAGCGGCGGACGGGUGAGUAACACGUAGGCAACCUGCCCUCAAGCUUGGGACAACUACCGGAAACGGUAGCUAAUACCGAAUACAUGAUUUGUUCGCCUGAACGAAUUUGGAAAGACGGAGCAAUCUGUCACUUGAGGAUGGGCCUGCGGCGCAUUAGCUAGUUGGUGAGGUAACGGCUCACCAAGGCGACGAUGCGUAGCCGACCUGAGAGGGUGAUCGGCCACACUGGGACUGAGACACGGCCCAGACUCCUACGGGAGGCAGCAGUAGGGAAUCUUCCGCAAUGGACGCAAGUCUGACGGAGCAACGCCGCGUGAGUGAUGAAGGUUUUCGGAUCGUAAAGCUCUGUUGCCAGGGAAGAACGUCUGAGUUAGUAACUGAACUCAGAGUGACGGUACCUGAGAAGAAAGCCCCGGCUAACUACGUG